RNAcentral lists this long non-coding RNA (326 nucleotides) under Nicotiana benthamiana. RNAcentral's name for it is "long non-coding RNA (NBEN_LNC013673)". Lineage: Eukaryota; Viridiplantae; Streptophyta; Magnoliopsida; Solanales; Solanaceae. The record is from RNAcentral.
CAUAACACAGAUGCCUGAUAUGUUCAAAUUCCAUUGCAGCAGUCUGUUCUUGGUAGGAAGUCUAUCCUGCAGUAACAACCACAAGCUGAAGAUAGCAUUAGGUCUAGCAGCAUUUUGCAUUACCAGAUUCUUCCAUGACACUCUAGUUGAUUCUCCAAGCAGUUGCAGGUAUACCUUCCUUAUGGUGCAGCCAGUGUUAUCUAGCAAUUGAUGCUGAUGUAGUAACUUAGCUCCCUCCACAAUUUUCCUUACCAUCCAGCUAGCAUUAGCUGGGAUAGUAAGGUUCUCCAACUGGUGAUGUUUGAUAUAAACAGUAUGGAUCCAUN